Molecule: ribosomal RNA, 482 nt
Filed under: uncultured bacterium
Lineage: Bacteria
Description: bacterial SSU rRNA
Rfam family: Bacterial small subunit ribosomal RNA
Source: RNAcentral
AAUGAACGCUGGCGGCGUGCCUAACACAUGCAAGUCGGAUGUGCCGCAAGGUGCAUGGCAGACGGGUGAGUAACGCGUGGGGAACCUACCUCUUCGUGGGGAAUAACGAUCCGAAAGGAUUGGUAAUACCGCAUGAGACCGACGGCUGGGAUGCUGUCGGUGAAAGCUGGGGACCGGAAACGGCCUGGCGCGAGGAGAGGGUCCUGCGUCUGAUUAGCUAGUUGGUGGGGUAACGGCCUACCAAGGCAUCGAUCAGUAGCCGGCCUGAGAGGGUGAUCGGCCACACUGGAACUGAGACACGGUCCAGACUCCUACGGGAGGCAGCAGUGGGGAAUUUUGCGCAAUGGACGAAAGUCUGACGCAGCAACGCCGCGUGGGUGAUGAAGGUCUUCGGAUUGUAAAACCCUGUACGUCGGGGACGAAGGUAGGGGGUAUAGCCUUUUGCUUGACGGUACCCGGAGAGGAAGCCCCGGCGUAACUCU